RNAcentral lists this long non-coding RNA (2015 nucleotides) under Malus domestica (apple). RNAcentral describes it as "long non-coding RNA (MDOM_LNC002279)". The record is from RNAcentral. Lineage: Eukaryota; Viridiplantae; Streptophyta; Magnoliopsida; Rosales; Rosaceae.
AUAUGGCUCCCCAGCCUGCAUCAGUUCAAACUAAUGUUUCAGCUCCACUCACAUUCAUGGGAAACCGACCACUGCCUGCUGAGAGCUCUACCGGAUGGUCAAACUGGUCCACCAGCUCCACAACCAGGUGUUGCGUCCAUGCCACCACCUUCAAAUAUAUCAACGGCGAAUAUGGUGUCUUCUCUAAACCAUCCUAUUGCAGCACCAAGUUUUAUUUCUUUUCCACGGCUGCAUGGCUGGCUGUCGUCGGCUCGGGGGGGGGGGGGGGGGGGGUGGGGUUUAUACACGGGGAAUUCUUGGUGCUGCAUGGCUGGCUGUCGUCGGCUCGGGGGGGUGGGGUUUAUACACUAACAAAGAUUCAUGGUGAUGCAUGCCUGUCGUCAGCUCGUGUCGUGGGGACAAACAGAGUUCAGGGGCCCCUCUCAAAUAUUCCGUGAGACGCCACUAUGGCAGAGGGUCGACAAAAUCAACGUCAGACUUAAAUGCAUUUAUUCAUGUUAAUUGUUUUGCUCAUGCGCAUGCAAAAGACCGCCUAAAGAUCAUAUGUUUGGGUGAGAGGGACAUCAAAGUUCCAAAGAAUUAAGGUCAAAUUAGCAAGGAAUGAACUACAAACUACUAAAGGAGAAAAUAACUGCACUUCGUAGGUAUUAUAAAGGUUUGUGAAUGAAAGUAUCAGUCAUUCAUAACUCCUAUGCCUUUUCUAGUCCAUUCAAGACUAACUUGACAUCAUUAAUCCCUUGAAAUAAGUUCAUUACCCCAAUCAUUAAAAGGGUGUCAAAUACGAAUACAAAAAUGAACUCAAAUAUUUUCAUAGUCACCAUGUAGAAAGAGAAAUAGUUCUCAUAGAAGACAACAAUAAAGUUGGAAAUGAUAUCAUAUAAUAUAGCUGAUUGAAUCUGAAAGCAAAUCUUUCUCCUAUCAUACGUUGUUCCCAUAUCAGAGGGCUUCAAGUCACUGUUACUGCCCAUACCAUUGCCAUACUCUACAAAUGGUGAGGAUUUAAUGCAUUUGCGCACGGCAAUUUUUAAUGACAAUUUUAAGAACGCAGUGAAGUAUUUAAGGCUUGCUCUUCACUUCACAUCCCCCAGUAGGCCUGGCAUUUUGGACCCAACUCGUUAAUAUUUGUAUUUGGGUGGAUGCUUAACAGGUCGGGUCGCUAACGGGUGAACUCGUUAACAACCCGUUAAAUAACGGGUCACUUUGGGUCAAACCGUUAGACCCGUUAGGACCCAUUAACACCCAUUAGUUGAGGAUAUUUUAGUAAUUUUAGUAAACUCUUAAUAACAAAAAAUAAAAUUUAUGCAAAAAAAAAAAUAAUAAUAAUAAUAAUUGUUAACGGGUGAAACGGGUGACCCGUUAGCUUAACAGGUCGGGUUCGGUGACCCGUUAGCUUAACGGGUUGGGUUCGGAUGACCCGUUAACUUAACGGGUUGGGUUGAACCCGACCUAAACCCAAUAAACCUGACCCGUUUACAUAUCUAUCCCCCAGUACUGCUGGCCUUGCAUCCUUUGGUACAGGUAAACAUUUGUUCUAGUGAAAUAAUGUACUUGCAAGGAUUGAUAUUUUUAUAUAGUAAAAUAAAAAUUAAUAGAGAAGGGAAGAGGAGAUCACGUCAUACUUCAGAAAUACCUGAAGUCUUCAUCUUGCCCUGUUCUAACUUGAGCAAUAAUAUUGAGAGUACUCAAGCUCGGGCAAAAGCAAAUCACCUACUUGUUGAACCAUCUAUCAAAGUUAGUUAUAAAUGUGUAAUUAAUUGGUCCAACAAAAUUGACGAAGACAUAUAAACAGAGAAAAAUCGUUGAAUCUUAUAUUACCUGCAAUGAACGGAGAAAUAAUUUGGUAUAAAAAUCUGAUAAGAAUCUAAUUUCACAAAACUUCAAUUCGGGCCUAAACAAAGUGUGAAGGGUGGCAGAAGGGGAAUUUUAUGGGCGACAGGAGGAUGAAUCUUAUACCAUUUGCACCAGAAGCAAACAAAAGAGCAGAACGGGGAUUUUAUGGGGACAGGAUAAGCAAA